Long non-coding RNA from Mastomys coucha (southern multimammate mouse), 436 nucleotides. RefSeq lists it as uncharacterized. The record is from RefSeq and is a predicted model, not a curated record. The transcript has 3 exons. Lineage: Eukaryota; Metazoa; Chordata; Mammalia; Rodentia; Muridae.
GUGCCAGUACACAGUGUUUACUGUUGUCAACAGCAUGUAACUAAGGCGCUUAGGAGGUGGAGGCAGAAGAUUCAGGAAUUCAAGGGAAUCUGAUGCCCUCUUUUGGCCUCCAAGGGCUCCUGAAAAACACACCCAGCACUCAGACAUGCAGGAGCAUGUGCUAUAUAUGUCAGGCACUGUACUAGAAACAAAUGGCACACAGCACGGAACAAAGUCUCCCCAGGGCUAACGCUGUGGCAGUGGCACCUUCUUGGAAGGGAUUAGAGGCCUGUGUCACUGAGCCACCUGAGGAGUAUUUCCAAAGCAAGUGUCAUGGCAAGCAUCAAACGUCUAUUGGCUGUCACUUCAUGGUGAUCUCUAAUAGAGCCCGGAUCUGUUCAUGCUUGUACCUUCUCAACAUCUCUAGCAGGACCUGACUCAAAAUGUGUGCUGAGUG